This 1369-nucleotide ribosomal RNA is filed under the name uncultured bacterium. RNAcentral's name for it is "bacterial SSU rRNA". It matches the Rfam family "Bacterial small subunit ribosomal RNA", at positions 28 to 1381 of the family's 1533-position model. The record is from RNAcentral.
GACGAACGCUGGCGGCGUGCCUAAUACAUGCAAGUAGAACGCUGAAGAGAGGAGCUUGCUCUUCUUGGAUGAGUUGCGAACGGGUGAGUAACGCGUAGGUAACCUGCCUUGUAGCGGGGGAUAACUAUUGGAAACGAUAGCUAAUACCGCAUAACAAUGGAUGACACAUGUCAUUUAUUUGAAAGGGGCAAUUGCUCCACUACAAGAUGGACCUGCGUUGUAUUAGCUAGUAGGUGAGGUAAUGGCUCACCUAGGCGACGAUACAUAGCCGACCUGAGAGGGUGAUCGGCCACACUGGGACUGAGACACGGCCCAGACUCCUACGGGAGGCAGCAGUAGGGAAUCUUCGGCAAUGGGGGCAACCCUGACCGAGCAACGCCGCGUGAGUGAAGAAGGUUUUCGGAUCGUAAAGCUCUGUUGUAAGUCAAGAACGGGUGUGAGAGUGGAAAGUUCACACUGUGACGGUAGCUUACCAGAAAGGGACGGCUAACUACGUGCCAGCAGCCGCGGUAAUACGUAGGUCCCGAGCGUUGUCCGGAUUUAUUGGGCGUAAAGCGAGCGCAGGCGGUUUGAUAAGUCUGAAGUUAAAGGCUGUGGCUCAACCAUAGUUCGCUUUGGAAACUGUCAAACUUGAGUGCAGAAGGGGAGAGUGGAAUUCCAUGUGUAGCGGUGAAAUGCGUAGAUAUAUGGAGGAACACCGGUGGCGAAAGCGGCUCUCUGGUCUGUAACUGACGCUGAGGCUCGAAAGCGUGGGGAGCGAACAGGAUUAGAUACCCUGGUAGUCCACGCCGUAAACGAUGAGUGCUAGGUGUUGGAUCCUUUCCGGGAUUCAGUGCCGCAGCUAACGCAUUAAGCACUCCGCCUGGGGAGUACGACCGCAAGGUUGAAACUCAAAGGAAUUGACGGGGGCCCGCACAAGCGGUGGAGCAUGUGGUUUAAUUCGAAGCAACGCGAAGAACCUUACCAGGUCUUGACAUCCCGAUGCUAUUUCUAGAGAUAGAAAGUUACUUCGGUACAUCGGUGACAGGUGGUGCAUGGUUGUCGUCAGCUCGUGUCGUGAGAUGUUGGGUUAAGUCCCGCAACGAGCGCAACCCCUAUUGUUAGUUGCCAUCAUUCAGUUGGGCACUCUAGCGAGACUGCCGGUAAUAAACCGGAGGAAGGUGGGGAUGACGUCAAAUCAUCAUGCCCCUUAUGACCUGGGCUACACACGUGCUACAAUGGUUGGUACAACGAGUUGCGAGUCGGUGACGGCGAGCUAAUCUCUUAAAGCCAAUCUCAGUUCGGAUUGUAGGCUGCAACUCACCUACAUGAAGUCGGAAUCGCUAGUAAUCGCGGAUCAGCACGCCGCGGUGAAUACGUUCCCGGGCCU